Molecule: ribosomal RNA, 200 nt
Filed under: uncultured bacterium
Lineage: Bacteria
Description: partial 16S ribosomal RNA
Rfam family: Bacterial small subunit ribosomal RNA
Source: RNAcentral
ACGCUCGACACCUACGGAGGCAGCAGUGGGGAAUAUUGCACAAUGGGGGAAACCCUGAUGCAGCGACGCCGCGUGAGCGAAGAAGUAUUUCGGUAUGUAAAGCUCUAUCAGCAGGAAAGAAGAAAGACGGUACCUGACUAAGAAGCCCCGGCUAACUACGUGCUAGCAGCCGCGGUAAUCUGAGGCGGGCUGGACAAGGC